This 492-nucleotide ribosomal RNA is filed under the name uncultured bacterium. RNAcentral describes it as "partial 16S ribosomal RNA". It matches the Rfam family "Bacterial small subunit ribosomal RNA", at positions 29 to 507 of the family's 1533-position model. The record is from RNAcentral.
AGUGAACGCUGGCGGUAGGCCUAACACAUGCAAGUCGAACGGCAGCACCGUAAGAGCUUGCUCUUACGGGUGGCGAGUGGCGGACGGGUGAGGAAUACAUCGGAAUCUACUUUUUCGUGGGGGAUAACGUCGGGAAACUUACGCUAAUACCGCAUACGACCUACGGGUGAAAGCAGGGGAUCUUCGGACCUUUCGCGAUUGAAUGAGCCGAUGUCGGAUUAGCUCGUUGGCGGGGUAAAGGCCCACCAAGGCGACGAUCCGUAGCUGGUCUGAGAGGAUGAUCAGCCACACUGGAACUGAGACACGGUCCAGACUCCUACGGGAGGAAGCAGUGGGGAAUAUUGGACAAUGGGCGCAAGCCUGAUACAGCCAUACCGCGUGGGUGAAGAAGGCCUUCGGGUUGUAAAGCCCUGUUGUUGGGAAAGAAAAGCAGCAGGUUAAUACCCCGCUGUUCUGACGGUACCCAAAGAGUAAGCACCGGCUAACUUCGUG